Molecule: unclassified non-coding RNA, 376 nt
Filed under: uncultured bacterium
Lineage: Bacteria
Description: contains 16S-23S intergenic spacer region
Source: RNAcentral
UCCGGUUUGGCACCGGCAGUCUCCCAUGAGUCCCCGGCAUGACCCGCUGGCAACAUGGAACAGGGGUUGCGCUCGUUGCGCCACUUAAGGCAACAUCUCACGACACGAGUUGACGACAGCCAUGCACCACCUGUACACCAGUAUCAAAGAGACCCCCAUCUCUGGGAGCUUCCGGCGUAUGUCAAACCCAGGUAAGGUUCUUCGCGUUGCAUCGAAUUAAUCCGCAUGCUCCGCCGCUCGUGCGGGCCCCCGUCAAUUCAUUUGAGUUUUAACCUUGCGGCCGUACUCCCCAGGCGGUCGACUUAUCGCGUUAACUGCGCCACAAAGUCCGCGAGGGACCCAACGGCUAGUCGACAUCGUUUACGGCGUGGACUAC